RNAcentral lists this long non-coding RNA (5351 nucleotides) under Sus scrofa (pig). RNAcentral describes it as "lncRNA (ENSSSCG00065064698.1)". The record is from RNAcentral. Lineage: Eukaryota; Metazoa; Chordata; Mammalia; Artiodactyla; Suidae.
AGAAAUAUUUGAAAUUGACUCCUAAUAUAGACUUACCAGGAAAAAUUACUUCUCUUUGGGAACAAAAUGGCUCUGUAAAUUUUAUUUUUGAAAGCUUGAAUCAAAGAUGUGUUUUGGAUUUUUUCAAACUCAUUUCAGUUUAGUUCAGGAAACAAACUAUGGAUAAGAGUCAGUAAGACAUAGAUGUAUAAUAGUGCUGCCCUUAAGAAGAUUCAGGUAAGUGGGGAGUUCCCGUCGUGGCUCAGUGGUUAACAAAUCUGACUAGGAAUCAUGAGGUUGUGGGUUUGAUCCCUGGCCUUGCUCAGUGGGUUAGGGAUCUGGCGUUGCCCCACCGGCCUAUACCAGAGCCACAGCAAUACAGGAUCAGAGACGCAUCUGCCACCCACACCACAGCUCAUGGCAACGCGAGAUCCUUAACCCACUGAGCAGGGCCAGGGAUUGAAGCCACAACCUCACGGCUCCUAGUCGGGUCCGUUAACCACUGCCCCACAACGGGAACUCCAAUUGCUAUUAUUUGAAUGUCAGCAGUCUGUCUUCUAAUGUUCUUUUUUCUGUUCUAAGGUCCUAUUCAUAAUUUUAUCUCAUGAUUAAUUUAUUUCAUUUUGGUUUCCUGUAGACUGUAGAGUUCUUCGAUUUCCCCUUAUCUUUCAUGACCUUGAUACCAUUAAAGACCAUCGACCAGUUAAUUUUCAAAUGUUCCUUAAUCUGGGGUUAAAGUAAUUUAAACUAAUUUAAACACGUUUCCUCAGGCAUAGCUAAAAUACACAGUCCUUUUCCCUUUUCCCUAAUCUGGAUUUGUUCAGUGUUUUCUAAUCUCUAGGCUGAGGUUGUACAUUUUUUUUUGUCAAGAACAUCACAGAAAUGAUGCUGUGUCUUUCUCAGUGCAUCAUAUCACGAGGUUCACGAUUUUCAGAUGUCUUAUUCUUGGUGACAGUAAAUUCAACUACGUGGUUAAAGUAAUUUCUACUGAUUUUCCCGUUGUGAAGUUACUAACCUAUACUUUGUGGUUAAGUAACAUGGGGAAGCUCAUUUGGAACUAUACAAAUUAUGUUUCUCCUAGACUUUUGUCCAUGGAAUCUAGCACUCAUUAGCGGACCUUCUCUGCAGCAGUUACCAUUGUGGGUUUGCAUAAUAAUUUGUUUCCUCUUUGCUUCUAUAUUUAUUUUAUUUCAUCUCAUUUUUUAAUUUUUUUUUAUUUUUUUAAUAGUUAUUUCCCCAAUACAAUUUUUUUUCUACUGUACAGCAUGGUGACCCAGUUACACAUACAUGUACACAUUCUAUUUUCGCACAUUAUCAUGCUCCAUCAUAAGGGACUAGACAUAGUUCCCAGUGCUACACAGCAGGAUCUCAUUGCUAAUCCAUUCCAAAGGCAAUAGUUUGUAUCUAUUAACCCCAAGCUCCCCAACCACCCCACUCCCUCUUCCUCCCCCUUGGCAACCACAAGUCUAUUCUCCAAGUCCAUGAUUUUUUUUUUCAUUUCAUUUUUAUUUUGUUUCAUUUCAUUCAUUUCAUUUCAUUUGUCUUUUUAGAGCCACACCCAUGGCAUAUAGAAGUUCCCAAGCUAGGGGUUGAAUCUGAGCUGUAGCUGAUGGCCUACACCACAGACACAGCAACAUGGGAUCCUUAACUCACUGAGCAAGGAGGCCAGGGAUCAAACCUACAUCCUCAUGGAUACUAGUUGGGUUCAUUACUACUGAGCCAUGACAGAAACCCCCAACUUCUAUAUUUAUUAAUUGGAAUUUGACUGUAAGAAAGAAAUAUCUCUUCUUGCCCACUUAUUUAUUUAUUACCUGUAAUAAAUAUACUUAUUAUUUUAAACUUAGUCUAUGAGUUAACUUCUAACACCACUGCACUUUCUUUCGCUACUCAGAUUAUUCCAGUUUUGUCUGUUGGGGGCUCCUACAAAUCUGCUCUUAAACGCGCCUUCAUCUCGUUUGACUAUAUCCUCACUUUCUGGUGACAGUAGAUGUCCCAGACUUACAUUGUAUUGCCCCCACUUCAGCCAGGAGUCAAUCAUUUCUCCAAAGAAUCCUAGUUCCUUUAUUGGAAGAAUUGUACUCAGCAACCUGGAAUUUAGUGCUACUGCAGUGCCCAGGUUAUAGGCCCUCACAGCAGAGGAAAUACAUCCCUCUAUACUAACUAUAUUAGUUUCUGAGGGUUACUGCAACAAAUUACCCCAAAUCUGAUGGCUUAAAAUAGAGAUUUAUUUUCUCAUUGUUCUGAGAGCCAGAAGUCUGAAAUAUUGAAUCUGUUUUUUAUUCUUGGCAUAAAUGACAAUAGGUCAUAGUGUAUUAUUUUUAUUAAUGUGAUAUUCAGUGCAUUUGCUAAUAUUUUCUUUAGAAUUACUGAAUUAAUAUUUGAUUCCAUUUGCUAACAUAUCCUUUAAAAUGUUUGAUUAAUAUUCAAUAAUAUCAGUCUUCAGUUUUCUGUCUUUGUACUGACUUUAUCAGGUUUAGGUAUCAGAUUUAUUCUUACUUCAAAAAAAUAAAAAUAAUUGGGUAAUUUUCCUUUUUAUUCAGUGUUCUGGAAUAAUCUGUAGAGUAUUGAAAAUACCUGAGUUUCUUUUUUUUCUUUUUUUUAAGAAGUUAAUAGAAUUCCACCAUGAAAUCAUGUGAUCUUUUGUAUAGGGUGGUUUCUUAAUAUUUUGUCAUUUUACUUAUUUUCUGUGAAUUUUAUUUGUCUUACAUUGAGAGUGGUAUAUUACAAUCUUAGCAAGACAGACAAAAGGAAAAUUACUGAGGUACCUCACACACAAAGUUUAAUGAUGCAUCAAAAACAUAGAAAUCAAGACAAAUAAUAAAAAUAUGUAAUAUUUUAAAAGAUCAAAUUGGCAAACUUAAGCCCAUGGGACAGCCUUCUGUUUUUAGAAUAAGGUUUUAUUGGAAUCUGGGCCAGAAUUAUGGUGAUGUGAAUGAGGCAAGAUUAUAAAAGUGAAGGGUCAGAUCUUGUCUUUAACAUUUUAUAUUUAGUCAUCAGAGAUUUUUAAAAUUCAUUUUGAUUAUAUUAAUGUAGAUCUCAUAGAUAUUUACUGAACCCUACUACACACUCAGUUGCCUGUCUAGCUAGGUCUCCUAAUCUCUCUACACUUGAAAUUUUGCUUCAUAAAGGUGGUAACUAUUUUAUUCAAUUUUGAGUAUCUUUCUCUUUAAGACUCUUGUACUUUUAAAUCCCUUUUGUGCAGUUUUUGCUCUGAUCUCCCCAGUUACUUUUCCUCCCAGAUAUAGAGUGGAUUUACUUUUUUCUGGUGAUCACACCAGGGGAUAGUCGGGCCCCAUAGUUAGUGUUCCUGCUCCGAUUUUCUUGGAUUUUUUCCUUAAUCUGCACUGCUGACCAGACAGAAGACAAAGAUGUAGAACUUUUGUUCUUCUCUUUUUAUGGGUAAUUAUUUUGCUGUUUCUACUUUAUAUGUCUUCAAAUAAUUUUAAGAGUGAGUUUCAUUUUGAACUUUCAUAUAUGUGAAAUCAUUUCAUAUUGUUGGGAAGGAGAUUUGGGGAAGUUGUUUAGUAUAAGUCUACUAUGGUCUGAGGGUACCUGGGAAACUUCAAGUCAUUAUUAUUAAGAUAAGCGUAUUUCUAAUCCUUAUAAUGGGAUAUGUUCCCGGGUUAUAUACAGCCAACUAAUAAACAACUUCAAAAAAAUACCAAGAAUUGUUAACCUGAAACAGCUAAUGCUAGAUUAAAAAUAUAGCAAAUAUCCUGAUGUCUGAAUGUGGACAGUGCAGGUACUGUUACCCAGUAACAGAAUUAUGACAAGACACGCAGAUUGGUAUUUGAUUUUCUGGUUAAGGUGUGUAUUUUUUUGUUUUCUUUUUCUUUUCUUUUAAUGGUCAUACACUUGGCAUAUGGAAGGGAUUGAAUCUGAGUCUUAGCUGCAUAGCUACAGCAGUGCUGAAUCCUUUAACCACUGUUGCCAGGCUGAGGAUCAAACCUGCACCUCCACAGGGAUCCCAGCUGCUGCAGUUGGAUUCUUAACCUACUGCACCACAGUAGGAACUCCUAUGAAAUGUGUUUUGAAGUUGAACAUAUCUCUGUUCAAACAGCCAGAUGCAAGAUCCCAAAGAAGUUUCCUAACUCUCCCAAGUUUCAUUUUCUUCCUCAAUAAAAUCUCCAGGUUGUUUGGAGAAAUAAUUGUAUCAUGUAUUAAAAGUAUCCAGCAAGAAUGCGUGGCAUAGGGGUGUUCAAAAAUGUUCUAUGAUUUACCAUUUUCUUUUUCCCUCCCUGCUGUUUUUCUUGCUACAAUAAUACUCUGGAGUAUUACUUGUUCUCACAUUCCUGUGUUGGAAAUAUGGUCUUUUCCCCCUUAUGACACAAAUUUCUCAUCAUUCUCCCCUUUGCCAAAUAUUAAGCCACCAAUCUUACCACAUUCUUAGAUCCACAAUUCUCAAAGCACAGAAUGAACUUUAGUUCUCAUCGUGAGGUUUUUAUUGCAUAAAAAUUAUAUGCAGAUAUCCAGUCAUUAGUUCAAACUAUUACUAUUGAAACCGGUUAGGCACAAGUUGGGAUUUGUGCUAUUUAAAAUCCUGUCCAUUUCCUCCUGUCAUCUAAGUGCUUCAUUACUGGAUUAUCGAAGAAAUCCAGAAAUCUCUAUCACCGCAAUUCUGCACUGCUUCUGCUCUAAGCUUAUGCCCUUUCUUGGGCAAAUCAUUUUUUCCUUUUCUAGUUGUUCUUUGUAUUCUGUUCCAGUUAAGUCAACUCAAUUCUACUCAGUUCAACUCAAAUCAAUUCAAAUCAAUUAAGUUUUAGACAUUUCAGCUCCCACUUACAGAGCUGUGCACUGGACUCUGUACUUGUUACUGAGGAAAUAAAGUUGACAAAGGAGCUAAAAGCCUAUUAGACAAUCGACAGAUACACAAAGUAAUACUGUCAUACUAGUGAGGCACACCUGGUGCGAUAGGAUAACAGAAAGAGUACUGAAUUCUACCUGUGUUUUGGAGCUGAGUCAAAGAGGAAUUAAAUUUAGAGCUGGUCCUUGUAAUGUGAGUAAGAUUUUACCAAAAAUAAAGUGAUUGGUGGUGGAGAUAAGUAUUCCGAUAAGGGCAUUUACAGAGAUGACCUCGGGUUACAUAUCAAUCGGUGUUUUUCUAUUGUUGUUCUUGUUGUAGGUUUUGUUUCGUUUUUUUUUUGUUGUUGUUGUUGUUGUUUUUUUUCUUUUUUUCUGACAAAGCAAACGACUUUAUUGAAAAGGGCCACUGGAGUGGAGAGCAACAGGGUAGGGGAACCCCUCCGUAACUGCUCUCCAAUCAGUGCUUUUUAAAUGGAUCUUUGAAGGCCAAGAUUUUCCCUAAGGACCUCAGAGGCUAUCCAAAAGACUUUGCCUAAAGGGAGAGAUUUAAAAAAAAAAAAAAAAAAAAA